RNAcentral lists this ribosomal RNA (657 nucleotides) under uncultured bacterium. Its description in RNAcentral is "bacterial SSU rRNA". The stretch from base 1 to 542 matches the Rfam family "Bacterial small subunit ribosomal RNA", at positions 338 to 873 of the family's 1533-position model. The record is from RNAcentral.
CCUACGGGAGGCAGCAGUAAGGAAUAUUGGUCAAUGGAGGCAACUCUGAACCAGCCAUGCCGCGUGCAGGAUGAAGGCCCUAUGGGUCGUAAACUGCUUUUGUACCAGAGAAAACCCGAGUACGUGUACUCGGUUGAUAGUAUGGUAAGAAUAAGCAUCGGCUAACUUCGUGCCAGCAGCCGCGGUAAGACGAAGGAUGCAAGCGUUAUCCGGAUUCAUUGGGUUUAAAGGGUGCGUAGGCGGACUGAUAAGUCAGUGGUGAAAUCUCUCGGCUUAACCGAGAAACUGCCAUUGAUACUGUCAGUCUAGAGUACAGAUGAUGUGGGCGGAAUAUGACAUGUAGCGGUGAAAUGCUUAGAUAUGUCAUAGAACACCGAUUGCGAAGGCAGCUCACAAAACUGUAACUGACGCUGAGGCACGAAAGUGCGGGGAUCAAACAGGAUUAGAUACCCUGGUAGUCCGCACCGUAAACGAUGAUUACUCGUUGUGCAUAGUGACGUCGACGCGACCGACGACGAACGAACGUAGUAAGUUAAGUUACCGUACCGUUACGGGGUUACGGUACCGGCCGGACCGGACCGGUACGGAACCGUUACGAACGUUAAGUUAGUUACGGACGGCGAGAGACGCGACGGACGGACGACGAGGAGGAGGUAG